This 253-nucleotide ribosomal RNA is filed under the name uncultured bacterium. RNAcentral describes it as "partial 16S ribosomal RNA". It matches the Rfam family "Bacterial small subunit ribosomal RNA", at positions 524 to 776 of the family's 1533-position model. The record is from RNAcentral.
UACGUAGGAGGCGAGCGUUGUCCGGAAUUACUGGGCGUAAAGCGCACGUAGGCGGCUUUGUAAGUUAGAGGUGAAAGCCCGGGGCUCAACUCCGGAAUUGCCUUUAAGACUGCAUCGCUCGAAUUGUGGAGAGGUAAGUGGAAUUCCGAGUGUAGAGGUGAAAUUCGUAGAUAUUCGGAAGAACACCAGUGGCGAAGGCGACUUACUGGACACAUAUUGACGCUGAGGUGCGAAAGCGUGGGGAGCAAACAGG